UACAUACAUAUAAAGUGGUACUUUGCUAUCUCCUUUUUAUGAAAGCUAGCUAUAGAGAAGCAACACCAUAAGUGUUUUACAUCAUUGCACAUUCUAUGUACAUGUUAGCAUCCACAUUUACUUGAAUAACUAAAAUGACUUGUGUUUGUUUCUUCCUUUCAAUGUCAUUGCUACAUGAAUUUGUCUCUCACCAUAUGCAAAAGGUAUGGUUAUGUUAUGUACCCUUCAAUUCUAAUCUCACCAUUAUCAUUUUUGUUUUCUACUACAUACACUAAUAUAUUAUAUUAUAAUAAAUAAAAUUGAAAAAAAAAGUAUUAUAUAAACAUAAUAUCAUGCUUUGUUUCCAAACAGACAAUUCGGCUGGUGAACUGAAGGACACUCGUAGCAGUACUAACUAGAAGCUCUAGAGUUCAAACUCACCAACAUCUCCUAUUAAAAAAAAAAAGCUACUUUAAAUCCAAUUAGGGUUUAAUUAAAUCAUAUGCAACACCAUGGUGUGUGUGUACACAUAAUUAGGUUAGGUAGCUUCUAGGUUAGUGUUUUUGUGUUGCUUUUACUUUUGGUUAAUUUUAGUAAUCAGUUGCAUUGGCAAAUAAGUAUAGGGUCUUGUUAACAUGUGCCCUUAGGGCACAUGUUAAGAUAUACCAAAAUAGAAAUUCAACAUUUAAUGAUAUAAGAAAUUUAAUGAUUCAAAAGUCAAAAUGCACAAAUUAGCAUUUAAUAAUUUCUAUUUUUGCUUCCUUAACAUGUGCCUUAAGGGCACAAGUUAACAUUUUCCAUAAGUAUAUUAUUUAAUGCUUUCUUAUCAACCUUUUAUUUCCAUCUAUUGAGUUUGAACUAGCUUAAAACAACUUUUUUAAUAUGUAUGAAGCUUAAUGAAACUUCUUUAUUUCAACAACCAACAUGAUUAGACAUGUGGACCUAAUUGUGAUCUCAAACAAACAUCAACUAGUGGAUUGAAGUGUUAAUGAUCAUGGUAGUAUAGAACUUACCAAAUUCAGUUUAUGUAUUGAUACAUAUUAAGAUAUAAAGUGAUGAAAAAUUGUGUGGUUAGUAGCAUUAAUCCAUUCAUUUAGCUUAUAAGGGAAAACUUAUAUAAGUAGAAAACUUCUAUAAUUGCUACUAUUACAAAUUUGUUAAACAAGACACAAAGUUACAAUAUAAAGAAAUAUUAUAGCUUGCUAGCAUGCAAUGAUAUAGUAAUUUUCACCAUGGAAAAAAAUUAUUGAAUC
RNAcentral lists this long non-coding RNA (1232 nucleotides) under Trifolium pratense (red clover). Its description in RNAcentral is "long non-coding RNA (TPRA_LNC010939)". Lineage: Eukaryota; Viridiplantae; Streptophyta; Magnoliopsida; Fabales; Fabaceae. The record is from RNAcentral.